This 96-nucleotide transfer RNA is filed under the name Arenivirga flava. Its description in RNAcentral is "tRNA-Pro". Lineage: Bacteria; Bacillati; Actinomycetota; Actinomycetes; Micrococcales; Microbacteriaceae. The record is from RNAcentral.
CUCGCGGUGGACGGCAUGGUGCUGCGCCCGGUGCUCGGCUCGCCGAUCGUGCGUCACGUCGACGCGCUGGUGCGUCCCGACCUGCGCGCGCAGGCC